This 274-nucleotide ribosomal RNA is filed under the name uncultured bacterium. Its description in RNAcentral is "partial 16S ribosomal RNA". It matches the Rfam family "Bacterial small subunit ribosomal RNA", at positions 523 to 796 of the family's 1533-position model. The record is from RNAcentral.
AUACGAAGGUCCCAAGCGUUAUUCGGAAUCACUGGGCGUAAAGAGUACGUAGGCGGUUUGGUAAGUCAGGUGUGAAAUCCCGAAGCUCAACUUCGGAACUGCAUCCGAUACUGCCAGACUAGAGUAAUGGAGAGGCAGGUGGAAUUCUCGGUGUAGCAGUGAAAUGCGUGGAUAUCGAGAGGAAGACCAAUGGCGAAGGCAGCCUGCUGGACAUUUACUGACGCUGAGGUACGAAGGCUAGGGGAGCGAAAGGGAUUAGAAACCCUAGUAGUCC